GUGCUGGUGGCUCAGUGGUUAGAGUCCUGACCCAGCAUGCCCAAGUGUGCAGGUUCAAAUCCCAGCUCA
RNAcentral lists this transfer RNA (69 nucleotides) under Alosa alosa (allis shad). RNAcentral's name for it is "tRNA-OTHER". The record is from RNAcentral. Lineage: Eukaryota; Metazoa; Chordata; Actinopteri; Clupeiformes; Clupeidae.